AAAGGAUUGGCUCUUAGGGCUGGGGAGGUUGGGCCUUAGAUUUGAAGGAGCCACUUCAGACCGGAUCGGUGGAGCGCAAGCUUAGCUGAGAACGUUUGGAUGUGUGCUCUGGACGGUUUUUGGUAGUCUUCGGGCGUCCUCCUCCUAGUACAGCUAACUAAGAACUGGAGCGGACAAGGGGAAUCCGACUGUUUAAUUAAAACAAAGCAUUGCGA
This 215-nucleotide ribosomal RNA is filed under the name Pseudo-nitzschia fraudulenta. RNAcentral's name for it is "partial Eukaryotic large subunit ribosomal RNA". It matches the Rfam family "Eukaryotic large subunit ribosomal RNA", at positions 1942 to 2164 of the family's 3401-position model. The record is from RNAcentral. Lineage: Eukaryota; Bacillariophyta; Bacillariophyceae; Bacillariales; Bacillariaceae.